This 443-nucleotide ribosomal RNA is filed under the name uncultured bacterium. RNAcentral's name for it is "partial 16S ribosomal RNA". It matches the Rfam family "Bacterial small subunit ribosomal RNA", at positions 338 to 795 of the family's 1533-position model. The record is from RNAcentral.
UCUACGGGGGUCUGCAGUGGGGAAUAUUGGGCAAUGGAGGCAACUCUGACCCAGCAACGCCGCGUGAAUGAUGAAGGUCUUCGGAUUGUAAAGUUCUUUUCUAAGGGAAGAAGAAAGUGACGGUACCUUAGGAAUAAGCCUCGGCUAACUACGUGACAGCAGCCGCGGUAAUACGUAGGAGGCAAGCGUUAUCCGGAAUGACUGGGCGGAAAGGGCGCGUAGGGGAUUUGACAAGUUAGUAGCGCAACAGCGGGGCUCAACUUCGGAACUACUACUAAAACUGUUGGAAGGGAGGGCAGGAGGGGAAAUCGGAAAUCCUAGUGUAGCGGGUGAAUGCGUAGAUAGUAGGAGGAACGACAGGGGCGAAGGCGGAUUGAGAGACUGUAACGGACACUGAGGCGCGAAAGCGUGGGGAGCAAACAGGAUUAGAUACCCUAGUAGAC